Molecule: long non-coding RNA, 1062 nt
Organism: Mustela erminea (ermine)
Lineage: Eukaryota; Metazoa; Chordata; Mammalia; Carnivora; Mustelidae
Exons: 4
Source: RefSeq, a predicted model, not a curated record
GGUGGUGUGUUCUGUGGCUCUAGGCUCAGUCCGGGCGGGGCUUGGUUCUCCUGCUUAGCUCAGCUGCCUUCCACGUUAUGUUUGGAAGCUGGGGUUGGAAGAGGUAAAGCCACCUCGCCGAGGUCAGCCAUGGCAAGGUAGACCCAGGACGCAGAGCCUGCAGUCCGGGGUCGCGUAGCCUCUUUUGCAGAGACCCACAGUUAGUGCCGAACACUCAGCCCAACUUCUGGGAGCGGGUCUCAGUCUUCCUGAGAAUUGGUCUACGCCGGCGCCCUCUGCCACCUUGUCCCCGAUUCCGGAGCUGGAGAUUGGGCCGCUCUUCGGUGCAUGGGGAGGGUGACCCAUCCAGGCACCCAGGGUCCUCCCUUUCCAGGGGAGAGCAGGGUAAUGGCCAUAGGGCCUCCGAGGACCAACGGCCCUGAAACGCCUUCCCGUCAUGGCUGCCUCACAAUAGGCCCAUUGCGUCCUCUUAGCCUGGAGGCAGCCCUGCUGGGCUUGGGCGAAGACAGCCUGGAGGGGUCACCUGUCUUCUCUGGCGCCUCUCAGGACCACCUGCUCUAAUCCCCACGUGAUACACCCCGCAGCGAGCUGCAACCAGCCCACUCAAGGACAGGUUAAAUGAAGGCCAGGGGACAUUAGAUGAAAGUCGGGGGACAUCAUAAGGAAGGGGCUGCCAGGGAAGGACCUGACCUCAGGAGGCAUCUCUCUGCCACUGAAGGUGACUGCUGGAGCUGAUAGCCAAGGGCUGUGCCGUGAACAACCUCCUUGCAGACAACACCAGUGGGAAUUGAGCAGGAGUCCCUGGAGCCCCAGAAGAAUGAAGCAGAUCAGAACAGCAUUGCAAGACUGAAGCUAUACUGUCAAGCUCACAAAAAAUAGUGUUCUUCUGAGAAAACAGAGAAAUCCAAAUCCAGGGAAACUCUACAAAAUACCUCAUCGGUACUCUUCAGACAUAUCAAUGCUACACAAGGCAUUAAGACAGAAAUUGUCAGUUUGGAGGCGACUAAGGGCACAUGACAACUAAAUGCAACAUGGGAUUCUGUAUUGAUACCAGAACAGAAA